Long non-coding RNA from Scophthalmus maximus (turbot), 1628 nucleotides. The record is from Ensembl. NCBI's taxonomy places the organism in Eukaryota, Metazoa, Chordata, Actinopteri, Pleuronectiformes, Scophthalmidae.
AUGUCAUUUCACCACCGCGACCACUGCAUGACCCAACGUCCACGCUUGCACCACCUCAACUAUAGAUACCUGGAGCCCUUCAUGAGACGUCCCAACUUCGUGCUCCAUUCCUCCUCACCACCACCAGGGUCUUUGGCUCCGGAAGGGAAAAAAGUUUGUAAGUGCAAGACCAUGCAGUGGAGGCCCGUGAAUUCAAGCUUACCGAGGCGGCUCAUUGGACAGCCGGUCGGACCUGCGUCCUGCGCUCGCCACAUUGCUCAGUGCUGUCUGGUGUGGUUGUGACGAGACGCCCACAAACGAGGCAUCCGGUGAGAGUUUGUACCGCACUGGGCUGUCCAGUUACUCUGUACAAAUAACUUCAAAACAUUCAUGUGCCCAACCCUUGUUUUGACAGGUCAUAACACCUCCCACGGGCUGCGUGGGCGUGCAGGAGAUCACAGGUGAGCAGUGAGUUGGUAAAGUGUACAAAGGUGCUGAGACUUAUGCUCAGGCAGGGGCCACGUGGACCGGCUUCGUGCAGCAUUACUUUGAACACGCAUGCACGUGUGAUGCAAUGCCAUGUCGAGAAUUCCUCUCAGGUUCUGCAAGUAUUCUUUGUAAGUGUGUAUGAAUCCUCCCAUCUCAGGCAUAUUAAUAAAUAUAUUACUAUGGGAUUUUUUAAUACAUAAUAUUGUCAUAAAUGUGUGUGGGGGAGAGAGGGGGCGUAAUCUCAGAGGGGCUGUCUCUCAUUCGGCUCUGACGCACAUUCAGUCUCUAAGAUGAUCGGGCGAAUCUUUGAUAUACUGCGUGUGUAUAGUUCCAAACUUUAAAAAAAAAAGGUCCAUCAGGUGGGGGCUGACGGUUCGAGUAAGGCUUUGGAUUGGUGUUUCUUAAAAAACAUUCACCUCCGAAAAUAAAUAUUUUAUAUAUAUUUCUACUGUGUGAAUUGGUACCAACCUGGUUUUUUGCUGAGGUAGGGUUUACUCUUUUUCUUAAGCAAAUGUUAACUCAGAUUUUUAAAAUAUUUUCAUAAAUGCCACCUCUUUUUUGCAGUACAAUCUGUAUAAAAACGUACACACACAUUUUCAUUUACAGCAUACAGACAUGAUAGAUAAAUAAAUAAAUACAUGUAAUCUGUAUGCAUGUAAGGUUUUUUUGCGUGUGUGCACGCACGCGUGCUGUCCAGGUUUGGUUCACAGGUUUUUCAGGCAAGAGUCUCUGGCGACUAUUGGCUGAAGCCAAAAGAAAAGCCAGUUGAAAGUGUUUGAAUGGUAAUAACAACAAUAAUCAACAUAAUAAUAUACUGCAGAACAAGUUUGCAGGCCUACGUACAGAGAUAAAUAGAUAAAUAGUUACCUAUCCAUAGUUAGAGUUAGUAGUCCAUUUAAGUUCUUGUUAUUUUUCUUUUUAAGUAAUCUAGUACUACAGCAGCAAUGGCGCCUGAAUGUUUUGGUGCCAAGAAAAGCGGAGGGAAGAUUUGGGGCAAGGGUCAAGUGUCCAUGUUGCCAUGGCGAUGGCAGUCCCUGUGAACCUUGAAGGCAGCUAAGAGGUCAAAGGACAUCGGCUGCAGCGCAUGGUCCAACUGUCGCCGUGGCGACCUCGUCACUCGGCUGCAGCCAAAGCCUACGCUCACAGGAGAAGGAGGGGGA